GACGUAGGGCGCGAGCGUUGUUCGGAAUUACUGGGCGUAAAGCGCGCGCAGGCGGUUUUUCAAGUCAGUGGUGAAAGCCCGGAGCUCAACUCCGGAAAUGCCAUUGAAACUGUAAAACUUGAGGACGAGAGAGGUGAGUGGAAUUCCCAGUGUAGAGGUGAAAUUCGUAGAUAUUGGGAAGAACACCGGUGGCGAAGGCGGCUCACUGGCUCGUUUCUGACGCUCAGGCGCGAUAGCGUGGGGAUCAAACAGG
Molecule: ribosomal RNA, 253 nt
Filed under: uncultured bacterium
Lineage: Bacteria
Description: partial 16S ribosomal RNA
Rfam family: Bacterial small subunit ribosomal RNA
Source: RNAcentral